This 481-nucleotide ribosomal RNA is filed under the name uncultured bacterium. RNAcentral describes it as "partial 16S ribosomal RNA". It matches the Rfam family "Bacterial small subunit ribosomal RNA", at positions 28 to 507 of the family's 1533-position model. The record is from RNAcentral.
GAUGAACGCUGGCGGCGUGCUUAACACAUGCAAGUCGAACGAAGCAUUUAGGACAGAAUACUUCGGUUUGAAGUUCUUUAUGACUGAGUGGCGGACGGGUGAGUAACGCGUGGGUAACCUGCCUUGUACUGGGGGAUAGCAGCUGGAAACGGCUGGUAAUACCGCAUAAGCGCACAAUGUUGCAUGACAUGGUGUGAAAAACUCCGGUGGUAUAAGAUGGACCCGCGUCUGAUUAGCUAGUUGGUGAGAUAACAGCCCACCAAGGCGACGAUCAGUAGCCGACCUGAGAGGGUGACCGGCCACAUUGGGACUGAGACACGGCCCAGACUCCUACGGGAGGCAGCAGUGGGGAAUAUUGCACAAUGGAGGAAACUCUGAUGCAGCGACGCCGCGUGAGUGAAGAAGUAAUUCGUUAUGUAAAGCUCUAUCAGCAGGGAAGAUAGUGACGGUACCUGACUAAGAAGCUCCGGCUAAAUACGUG